Molecule: ribosomal RNA, 424 nt
Filed under: uncultured prokaryote
Description: bacterial SSU rRNA
Rfam family: Bacterial small subunit ribosomal RNA
Source: RNAcentral
UGGGGAAUAUUGGACAAUGGGUGAAAGCCUGAUCCAGCAAUGCCGCGUGAGUGAUGAAGGCCUUAGGGUUGUAAAGCUCUUUUACCCGGGAUGAUAAUGACAGUACCGGGAGAAUAAGCUCCGGCUAACUCCGUGCCAGCAGCCGCGGUAAUACGGAGGGAGCUAGCGUUGUUCGGAAUUACUGGGCGUAAAGCGUUCGUAGGUGGUUUUGUAAGUCUGCUGUUAAAGCGUGUAGCUCAACUACAUAUAGGCAGUGGAAACUACAAAACUUGAGUGCGUUCGGGGCAGAGGGAAUUCCUAGUGUAGCGGUGAAAUGCGUAGAGAUUAGGAAGAACACCGGUGGCGAAAGCGCUCUGCUAGGCCGCAACUGACACUGAGGGACGAAAGCUAGGGGAGCGAAUGGGAUUAGAUACCCCUGAAGUCC